Molecule: ribosomal RNA, 498 nt
Filed under: uncultured bacterium
Lineage: Bacteria
Description: bacterial SSU rRNA
Rfam family: Bacterial small subunit ribosomal RNA
Source: RNAcentral
ACUCAAAGGAAUUGACGGGGGCCCGCACAAGCGGAGGAACAUGUGGUUUAAUUCGAUGAUACGCGAGGAACCUUACCUGGGCUCGAACGCGGGGGGAAUGCCGGGGAAACCCGGCAGCCGGCAACGGCCGCCCGCGAGGUGCUGCAUGGUUGUCGUCAGCUCGUGCCGUGAGGUGUCGGGUUAAGUCCCAUAACGAGCGCAACCCCUACCGCCAGUUGCCAGCGGGUGAAGCCGGGGACUCUGGCGGGACUGCCGGCGUAAGCCGAGAGGAAGGCGGGGAUGACGUCAAAUCAGCACGGCCCUUACGUCCAGGGCUACACACGUGUUACAAUGGCCGGUACAGAGGGAGGCGACCCCGCGAGGGGGAGCGGAUCCCGAAAGCCGGUCGUAGUUCGGAUCGGGGUCUGGAACCCGACCCCGUGAAGCCGGAUUCGCUAGUAAUCGCGCAUCAGCCAUGGCGCGGUGAAUACGUUCCCGGGCCUUGUACACACCGCCCGU